GUGCCAGCAGCCGCGGUAAUACGGAGGGUGCAAGCGUUAUCCGGAUUCACUGGGUUUAAAGGGUGCGUAGGUGGGUUGGUAAGUCAGUGGUGAAAUCUCCGAGCUUAACUUGGAAACUGCCAUUGAUACUAUCAGUCUUGAAUAUUGUGGAGGUCAGCGGAAUAUGUCAUGUAGCGGUGAAAUGCUUAGAUAUGACAUAGAACACCAAUUGCGAAGGCAGCUGGCUACACAUAUAUUGACACUGAGGCACGAAAGCGUGGGGAUCAAACAGGAUUAGAUACCCUGGUAGUCCACGCCCUAAACUAUGGAUACUCGACAUACGCGAUACACUGUGUGUGUCUGAGCGAAAGCAUUAAGUAUCCCACCUGGGAAGUACGAUCGCAAGAUUGAA
This 391-nucleotide ribosomal RNA is filed under the name uncultured bacterium. RNAcentral describes it as "bacterial SSU rRNA". It matches the Rfam family "Bacterial small subunit ribosomal RNA", at positions 505 to 898 of the family's 1533-position model. The record is from RNAcentral.